ACUUCCCUGCAGUAGCACUUUCUGCGUUUUAGGGGACAUUAUCUAUCAUGGGAAGGGAUCCUAGCAGUUGGUACGUGAAUGGAGCCGUCUCCGAGAAGUCUUUCAUUGAGCACACAGUCCUCUGAAGGGAAAGAGAAACAUGCUGUACAUGAACAUUAGUGGCAGCUGAAAUUUGUCACACUGAAGAUCAAAAAACACAGCCAGCUUCUGAGAGUUUAUCUGCCGCAAAAUGAAUCGCCCAGAGACCCCUGGUGCAUCUUUCUUUACACUUCACCUCCCCCACUACGGAUGAGAAAUAGACUUUUCCCUCAUCCAUCAUAAGUCAGCAUGACAGGGCUGUCGUUCCCCAGGCCCGGCUCACUGUAUCAUCCUUCCCUCUGUCCUGCUUCAGUGCAUGGCUGGCUUGCUUGGGAACAGCCGAGACCUUUACAAAAGACUUUAAAUGGUAAACCCCCAAAUAAUAAUAAUAAUAACAACAACAAUAAUAAACAGUAGCUA
This is a long non-coding RNA of Lontra canadensis (Northern American river otter), 498 nucleotides long. RefSeq lists it as uncharacterized. The transcript has 4 exons. NCBI's taxonomy places the organism in Eukaryota, Metazoa, Chordata, Mammalia, Carnivora, Mustelidae. The record is from RefSeq and is a predicted model, not a curated record.